AUGCUCAACCUGAUGUCGAUGCUUGUCUUUAUGGGUUACUUUACCCAAGUUGAGCAGAAGUUCAUGGUCUCUGGUCAUUCUUUUCUACCUUGUGACCGAUCUUUUGCCACCAUGGAGAAGAGGCGCAAGGUGUCAGUCCUUCAUACACCUGAUGAUGUUUCAAAGAUGAUACUUGAAGCACAACCAGCAAAACCAUUCAAGGUGAUGAGGAUGCAAUGUGAAGACUUCAGGCACCUCCCAGAUUCUGUCCUCAAGCGACCAGCUGGACUACAGACCACCUCAGUGAGGUGGUUAAAAGUCACAGUUGAGGAUCCUUGGAAUCUGUACGCCAGACAGAGCCACAGUCUAUUUGAGGGAUGGAAAUCGUGGCUGAUCUCCAAACCAAAACAAGGAGCUACACCUCAACCUCCCUAUUUUGCAAGCCACUACCCUAGAGCAUAUGAGAGUCCUCUGCCCAUCAAAAAAAACAAGUACCAAGAUCUGAUGACCUUCUCAACUACAUGCCAGCUGCUGCACGCUCUUUUUAUAAAUCACUGCAGAGUGAAUCAUUUGUUGUUAAACCAAGCUACAUAAUUAACAGUUUUUUUCUGUGAGUUUAUGAUCCCCUGAACCUGGUAUAGUAUGUUGAAUCUGAAUACAUUUCAGAAGACAUGUCACCCCUAUUGUAGGAAAUUAAUUGUAUAGUAGGUGUCUAUGUGAAUCAAUUUGUGUAUGAUUUGAACCAGCACAAUAUAUUGAAUUAAUUUAAUUUUAAGAUGUUGUUCCUCGUGUAGAAAAUGUUAUGUACAAUGUGUUCUUUUGAGAAUUAUUUUGUGUGUGAUCAUUUGGACCUUUUUUAAUCUGAAUGAAUUAAAAACCAAUAAGUCGUCACAUACAGUAUGUGAGUAUUCAUUUGAUCUUGAUUCCCUUUUUUAAAUUCAUUACAAUAUACAGUACAUCUCUCUGUCACCACAUUUAGCAUGAACUCUAAGCAGUUAAUACUUAUUUACUGCUGUCACCUCAGUACAGAAGGACAUGUCUUGCCUUUAGCAUGGGUUUAACGCAAUUCAAAACCUAAUUGCUGAUCAUAGUGUUAAACGCAAAGAGAAUGGUUUUCUGAACGUUUUGUAAUAUUGACCUUAGGGACCUGCAUAAUGGACAUGCAUAUUGGCACAUCACAUUGAUCCAUUUUUAAUAUGUACAAGUUGUUCUUGUUUUGAUUGAAUUAAUUUAAUUGUAUUCUAUUUUUGUAGUUAUUCUAUGGUAUGUUCACAUUGAUUUCAUGACUCAACUUUUAAGAAAAGUCAUCAGUGCUAAAGUUGAUAGACCACCUUUAAAUGAACCUCCAUACUAAUGAAUUAACUACAUAUUGCAUUUAAGUUAUUUACAUGAAGGGCAUCUGUACUUGAAAGUACUUUAAACAUCAUAUCAGUUGUUAAAAAAGGACAUCUUACAAGAGUCAUGCAAAAUGUCACAUAUACUGUUCUUCCACAAACUGAAAUCAUCACUGGAGAUGUACUGUUCUUCCACAAACUGAAAUCAUCACUGGAGAUAUACUGUUCUUCCACAUUCUAAAAAUUAAAACGGCAAUAAAAAAAGUAUUUUUUGAAAUAACAAAUAAAUAUAAUUUGUUGGAAGAUAUGGGUAUGGUGAAUUAUUUGUCAACCAUAACACCUAAUGUACACACAAUUAAUAAUAUACAAAUAACUGAUUAUCUUAAAAUGGAAAACAUUUCACAUAUGGUUCUUCAUCUGUAGGAUUCAAUUGAGAAAUACUUAAUCAAAGCUGGCAUAUUUAUGACAUUUUGGGCCU
Long non-coding RNA from Oncorhynchus kisutch (coho salmon), 1791 nucleotides. Lineage: Eukaryota; Metazoa; Chordata; Actinopteri; Salmoniformes; Salmonidae. The record is from Ensembl.